This 170-nucleotide unclassified non-coding RNA is filed under the name soil metagenome. RNAcentral's name for it is "partial contains 5.8S ribosomal RNA, internal transcribed spacer 2, and large subunit ribosomal RNA". The record is from RNAcentral.
AACCUAGCACACCUGCGGUGUGUACCUGCGGAAGGAUCAUAACUGGUUAAACUUUAUAAACACCAGAGUUUCAAACUCUGUGUUUGCAAACAAAAAAACACCCUUCAAAACAGCUAUUCAGUGUCUGAAUUAACUAGUUUAAUAUAAAAACAACUUUCAACAACGGAUCU